AACUUUUAUAGGAUAGUAGUAAUCCAUUGGUCUUAGGAACCAAAAACUUGGUGCAACUCCAAAUAAAAGUAA
Molecule: transfer RNA, 72 nt
Filed under: Talpa europaea (European mole)
Lineage: Eukaryota; Metazoa; Chordata; Mammalia; Eulipotyphla; Talpidae
Description: tRNA-Leu
Rfam family: tRNA
About the family: Transfer RNA (tRNA) molecules are approximately 80 nucleotides in length. Their secondary structure includes four short double-helical elements and three loops (D, anti-codon, and T loops).
Source: RNAcentral